RNAcentral lists this ribosomal RNA (421 nucleotides) under uncultured Eubacteriales bacterium. Its description in RNAcentral is "bacterial SSU rRNA". It matches the Rfam family "Bacterial small subunit ribosomal RNA", at positions 356 to 774 of the family's 1533-position model. Lineage: Bacteria; Bacillati; Bacillota; Clostridia; Eubacteriales. The record is from RNAcentral.
GAGGAAUAUUGGUCAAUGGGCGCGAGCCUGAACCAGCCAAGUAGCGUGAAGGAUGACUGCCCUAUGGGUUGUAAACUUCUUUUAUAAGGGAAUAAAGUGAGGCACGUGUGCCUUAUUGUAUGUACCUUAGGAAUAAGCCACGGCUAACUACGUGCCAGCAGCCGCGGUAAUACGUAGGUGGCAAGCGUUAUCCGGAUUUACUGGGUGUAAAGGGCGUGUAGGCGGGAAAGCAAGUCAGGCGUGAAAACUAUGGGCUCAACCCAUAGCCUGCGUUUGAAACUGUUUUUCUUGAGUGUCGGAGAGGUAAUCGGAAUUCCGUGUGUAGCGGUGAAAUGCGUAGAUAUACGGAGGAACACCAGUGGCGAAGGCGGAUUACUGGACGAUAACUGACGCUGAGGCGCGAAAGCGUGGGGAGCAAACA